GGGGAUUUGGCUCAGCGGUAGAGCACUUGCCUAGCAAGCACAAGGCCCUGGGUUCAGUCCCCAGCUCCG
This 69-nucleotide transfer RNA is filed under the name Rattus norvegicus (Norway rat). It matches the Rfam family "tRNA". Rfam says of the family: Transfer RNA (tRNA) molecules are approximately 80 nucleotides in length. Their secondary structure includes four short double-helical elements and three loops (D, anti-codon, and T loops). Further hydrogen bonds mediate the characteristic L-shaped molecular structure. tRNAs have two regions of fundamental functional importance: the anti-codon, which is responsible for specific mRNA codon recognition, and the 3' end, to which the tRNAs corresponding amino acid is attached (by aminoacyl-tRNA synthetases). tRNAs cope with the degeneracy of the genetic code in two manners: having more than one tRNA (with a specific anti-codon) for a particular amino acid; and 'wobble' base-pairing, i.e. permitting non-standard base-pairing at the 3rd anti-codon position. Lineage: Eukaryota; Metazoa; Chordata; Mammalia; Rodentia; Muridae. The record is from Rfam by way of RNAcentral.